AACUCUGCACUGCUGUGGCAGUAUCACAACCAAUGAGGUUUAUCCCAUGCACAAUUAUUGCUAAUUGAAAACUUCCCAAUACACUACUGUGACAACUUGCAAUGUAGUCAGCAUUGGCAAUUUUUGACAGUCUCUAAAGAGA
Molecule: small nuclear RNA, 142 nt
Filed under: Castor canadensis (American beaver)
Lineage: Eukaryota; Metazoa; Chordata; Mammalia; Rodentia; Castoridae
Description: U4 spliceosomal RNA (ENSCCNG00000002128.1)
Rfam family: U4 spliceosomal RNA
About the family: U4 small nuclear RNA (U4 snRNA) is a component of the major U2-dependent spliceosome. The structure of U4 snRNA from yeast and human has been reported. U4 snRNA presents a k-turn RNA motif in the 5p-SL related to recognition of Snu13 protein.
Source: Rfam by way of RNAcentral